Molecule: long non-coding RNA, 834 nt
Filed under: Triticum aestivum (bread wheat)
Lineage: Eukaryota; Viridiplantae; Streptophyta; Magnoliopsida; Poales; Poaceae
Description: long non-coding RNA (TAES_LNC004857)
Source: RNAcentral
CUGGAGUUGUGAUGAUGAUCCUUCAGGGUGGAUUCUCUGACUUUCAGUUCUUAUAGAAUUAUUUUGAAUGGUUGAGUAAGAGGUGCGCAUUUGAUAUGGAAACUAACACUGUGAAGAUGAUUUGAUCUGCAGAAUUUUCUUCUCUUUGUUUUCUUGGUUUAAUAAAUCAUGGCGUCUUUCACUAUUUCUUUCAGUAGUAGGUCGCGGAUUACAGAUUAUUGUUUCUCUUGAUCAGCAUCUGAAUAAAGGCUGUCCUUACUAAUUGUAUUCUACUUGUCAACUUUGUUGCCCAAAUACUUAAAUGUUAGCUUAAGUGAUGGAACAAAGAAUUCUUGUUGCUGGUAUGAACUCUGAACAUGCAAAUGCUGUCUAUGAUGAUCUGAUUCAUGUGAAUUUUCUAGUCCAUAAUGGUCAUCAAAUAGUAGCAUCCAACUGCUAGCUCUAGCUUGUCAAUGACAUUGUAUUCUGUUUUUUGUUAUUAGCGUAUCCUCGGUUGUCAACCAGCACCGACGGUUGAGUUGAAGACCACCUUCAAGUUCUAAUGGACCUUCAGACUGUUUAAUCUUGACAAGAAAUAUGAGCUGCUAAUUCUUGAAGAAAAGGUGUAGCCUAUGUACUGCAAUUGAACAUCUUGAAUAAAUGACAAAAGUUCAUCUAGGCUGUAGUCUAUGUACUGCAAUUGAUGUAUUGAUACAGAUGGAAGCAGAGUAUGUUAUGUGUUGCUUAUAACUAAGUUAUGUGCUGUUAUUGCCUCUGUACAUGUGCGAUUAUGUGUUGUCAUUGCCUAUGAACAUGUGGGAUCACGUAUUGUUAUUGCCUCUGGAUAUACUUAGC